RNAcentral lists this ribosomal RNA (497 nucleotides) under uncultured bacterium. RNAcentral describes it as "partial 16S ribosomal RNA". It matches the Rfam family "Bacterial small subunit ribosomal RNA", at positions 28 to 507 of the family's 1533-position model. The record is from RNAcentral.
GAUGAACGCUGGCGGCGUGCCUAAUACAUGCAAGUCGAGCGAACAGACGAGGAGCUUGCUCCUCUGACGUUAGCGGCGGACGGGUGAGUAACACGUGGAUAACCUACCUAUAAGACUGGGAUAACUUCGGGAAACCGGAGCUAAUACCGGAUAAUAUAUUGAACCGCAUGGUUCAAUAGUGAAAGACGGUUUUGCUGUCACUUAUAGAUGGAUCCGCGCCGCAUUAGCUAGUUGGUAAGGUAACGGCUUACCAAGGCAACGAUGCGUAGCCGACCUGAGAGGGUGAUCGGCCACACUGGAACUGAGACACGGUCCAGACUCCUACGGGAGGCAGCAGUAGGGAAUCUUCCGCAAUGGGCGAAAGCUUGACGGAGCAACGCCGCGUGAGUGAUAAAGGUCUUCGGAUCGUAAAACUCUGUUAUUAGGGAAGAACAAAUGUGUAAGUAACUAUGCACGUCUUGACGGUACCUAAUCAGAAAGCCACGGCUAACUACGUG